This 567-nucleotide unclassified non-coding RNA is filed under the name Zea mays. RNAcentral describes it as "misc RNA Zm00001eb032530". The record is from RNAcentral. Lineage: Eukaryota; Viridiplantae; Streptophyta; Magnoliopsida; Poales; Poaceae.
GCCGCUACGCUCUCAUGCAUGCAUGGGCUCAUGGCAAGCUGCAUGCAUGUACAUCAAGGGCAGAAGACGACCUGGUAGUUGCUAUUGCCGUUGCACGAACGGGUCUUAGGGUCGUUGGGCUGGUGGUACGCGUCGGGGCAGCCGGAGUCCCUGCACCGGAGGGCGGCGCCGGUGCUGCACGAGAAGUCCAUGGGCAGGUUGUACCCGUCGAUCACCGAGAUGUCGUAGUAGUCGUGGUUGCUGCCGCCGCCGAUGGUGAACUCGGCCAGCGUCGCCGGGGGCUGCCCGGACAGGCUGCAGGAGUAGGCGCCUCCGCAGUCGCCCGUCGCGCAGCGGCCCCGGCCGCCGCUGAAGGAGCAGCCGGUGCGGCCCCAGAUCCUGCCUCCGCUGGUCCCGGCCUGCACGUUGACAGUCCACGUCGAGCCCGGGUUCAGCUGCGUGCCGCCGCCGACCGGGAUGCCUGCUGGCCACACCGUGAACCCGCAGUUGUUUCGUACCGUGAACGUGGCGGCGCCGGCGCAUGUGGCGAAGCAAGCGAGCAGGAGGAAGAAGACGGAGGACGACGUC